RNAcentral lists this ribosomal RNA (460 nucleotides) under uncultured bacterium. RNAcentral describes it as "partial 16S ribosomal RNA". It matches the Rfam family "Bacterial small subunit ribosomal RNA", at positions 338 to 795 of the family's 1533-position model. The record is from RNAcentral.
CCUACGGGAGGCAGCAGUGAGGAAUAUUGGUCAAUGGGCGCGAGCCUGAACCAGCCAAGUCGCGUGAGGGAAGACGGCCCUACGGGUUGUAAACCUCUUUUGCCGGGGAGCAACGGGCGCCACGUGUGGCGCCACUGAGAGUCCCCGGAGAAAAAGCAUCGGCUAACUCCGUGCCAGCAGCCGCGGUAAUACGGAGGAUGCGAGCGUUCUCCGGAUUUAUUGGUUUUAGGGGGUGCGUAGGCGGAGCGUUAAGUCAGUGGUAAAAUUGAGGGGCUCAACCCCUUCCCGCCAUUGAAACUGGCGCUCUUGAGUGGAAGAGAGGUAUGCGGAAUGCGUGGUGUAGCGGUGAAAUGCAUAGAUAGCACGCAGAACCCCGAUUGCGAAGGCAGCAUGCCGGCUUCCGACUGACGCUGAAGCACGAAAGCGUGGGGAUCGAACAGGAUUAGAUACCCUGGUAGUC